Molecule: ribosomal RNA, 480 nt
Filed under: uncultured bacterium
Lineage: Bacteria
Description: partial 16S ribosomal RNA
Rfam family: Bacterial small subunit ribosomal RNA
Source: RNAcentral
GACGAACGCUGGCGGCGUGCUUAACACAUGCAAGUCGAACGAUGAAGAAAAGAAUCGAAGCUUCGGCAGAAAUUCAUUUCGGAUUAGUGGCAGACGGGUGAGUAACGCGUGAGCAACCUACCUCUUACAAAGAGAUAGCCUCGGGAAACCGGGAUUAAUACCAUAUAACAUUGCGACGAAGCAUUUCGAUGCAAUCAAAGCUACGGCGGUAAGAGAUGGGCUCGCGUCCCAUUAACCGGAUGGUGAGGUAACGGCUCACCAUAGUGACGAUGGGUAACCGGCCUGAGAGGGUGAACGGUCACACUGGAACUGAGACACGGUCCAGACUCCUACGGGAGGCAGCAGUGGGGAAUAUUGCACAAUGGAGGGAACUCUGAUGCAGCGACGCCGCGUGAGUGAUGAAGGAAUUCGUUUCGUAAAACUCUGUUCUAUGGGAAGAAAAGGACUGUACCAUAGGAGAAAGCUCCGGCUAAAUACGUG